This is a long non-coding RNA of Poecilia latipinna (sailfin molly), 593 nucleotides long. RefSeq lists it as uncharacterized. NCBI's taxonomy places the organism in Eukaryota, Metazoa, Chordata, Actinopteri, Cyprinodontiformes, Poeciliidae. The transcript is spliced from 3 exons. The record is from RefSeq and is a predicted model, not a curated record.
CUCCACCAGCUGCGGUCUGGGCGCCGUCUGGAGGACCUUGGUUUGCAGUACUGGCUCCGAAUCGGACUGCGAUCAGACCAAGAGGCCUGCGCCUGCCCGACAGUGCUACCUGAGGCCGUGCUCCACGUGGAAGGUCGGGGAGUGGAGUAAGUGCACCAAGAACUGUGAAGGCGGAAUGAGAUUCAGAGAGGUCCAGUGUUUUGACCUGAGAAACCAACGACCUCUGCGACCUUUCCACUGCCGGGCCAUGUUCACCAGACCGUUGACACAAAUGCCCUGCAACGUUCAGACAUGCCUUGACUGGUACACUUCCUCCUGGGGCCAGAAUCCAACCAGCUCCAAGUCCGGUGGUCGAGCAAAAUCUGACAUGUUGUGAGAGCAGUCUGAUAAUCGGUGGAGAGCAGCAAACUGUCCAAAAGUAAGCUAUUUCAAAGUCCUCUGGCUCCUGGCAUUGCUCUGCAGAAAAGUGUGGAAUCAAACCACAAGAGAAACUCGGAGUUUCCAUGAGCCGCUGCACUUGUCCUCAGCACAAUGGCCUUGUUAGGGCUUUGACAGCAAACACCUGGAAAAAGACCCGUCUGAGGUCCUUCACU